AUGUCGGCCCGCUCUCCUGAUGACUGGUUUGCUAAUGUGAUCUGCCAUCAGAGGCCCCCUCCCAACCGGCCCCAUGCUGGUGCUCCAGUGGAUGGCUCCGCCAGCGUUCCUCCAAGUAACAUGCUGGACCCGGACCCGAACCCGGACCCUGGAACACAUCCCAGAGCGAGCCAUUAUUGCUCCAGCCCUCGUCGCGUCGCGCUCUUCCCCCGCUGGAGCCAUGUUGUCCAGGGGGCGUUCUCUGGAUUCUGCCCCUCCGCAGCAUCGCUAGCAGCCCGCUGCUGCCUCCGCUCCCCGCCAGGCCUCCGUCUGCUCCUCCCGGCUCUGCGACCAGGAUUUGGGGGUCAGGAUUGUUGAGAAAGGCGAGAAACCCAGAGAAGCAAGAAGGGAGGACUCGACUGCGGAGCUCCGUCCGCCCAGCAGCGUCUCUGGCUCGGCUCCGUGGGAAGGCUCCGAACAGGUAGGAACUUGGAGGAUUUCUCACGCUUUAUUUUUAAUGUCCGGGUCUCCUGGAGACUCAACAUUCAUGUGUUCGCAUGUUCUGGUUCUGGUUCUGGUUGUGGGGAGAGUGUACCGAGCUGGGGAAAAUGUCAGCUAGCUGUAACCGAACCUUCCGGAACCAGCAGCUAACACUGAUCAACACCAGCUUGACUGGGUUAAAUGGCUGUUGUCGAGUCGCUUUCACCACCGUGAGGGUGAGACCGUGACACCGUGAGGGUGAGACCGUGAGGGUGAGAGGGUGAGACCGUCAGGGUGAGAGGGUGAGACCGUGAGGGUGAGACCGUGAGGGUGAGACCGUGACACCGUGAGGGUGACACCGUGACACCGUGAGGGUGACACCGUGAGGGUGACACCGUGACACCCUGUCAGGGUCUGCGGCCACAGAAUAAACAAACCUGCUCGUGUGCGCUCUUGGUUCCGAUGCUAACUGGACACCAACAUUAGCCUGCGCAGCGCGCAGUCGCGCUACCGACUGAAGCUCACGCACACGCGCACGUCACAUCCCGCCACCGCGCUGC
This 1019-nucleotide long non-coding RNA is filed under the name Takifugu rubripes (torafugu). RNAcentral describes it as "lncRNA (ENSTRUG00000028893.1)". Lineage: Eukaryota; Metazoa; Chordata; Actinopteri; Tetraodontiformes; Tetraodontidae. The record is from RNAcentral.